Salmo salar (Atlantic salmon) is the source of this 563-nucleotide long non-coding RNA. RefSeq lists it as uncharacterized. The record is from RefSeq and is a predicted model, not a curated record. Lineage: Eukaryota; Metazoa; Chordata; Actinopteri; Salmoniformes; Salmonidae.
CCAGAAGGCGCCAGAGGGAAGCUAUUGAUUGGGGGACCGCUCCGUUGUUUACAAUCCGCGUUGUCAUGGACAUGGACAUGGACACCAGCUAGCUAACCAGCUAACCGCAGCUAAACUAAACCUGGUUUGAGUCCAUUUCUACCAAAAUUGAAGAUGAUAAACAUCAGCAACCGAGCAUUGGAUAGACUCUACUCUGUUCUCCUCCUGGCCGUAGUGGUGUUGUCGUGGACCUACGUCAUCUAUGGGAGUAGAAUAGCAGCACAGAGACAGUUGGAGAAGAGACUCAACAUCAAACUACACAACUAAAGCACCAGCGGCACUACCUCAACACUAAAUACCGUGGACAUUCCCAAGACAAAGGACCCUGGACCAGUCUCCAUCCCAUUGCCUACUGUGAUGAAGUCUGUCUUUACUGAUCAGACUCAUUUAUACACCACCAUGCUGAAUGCUUCUCCUUCCUUUCUUUACUUCCUUUACCAUGUUAGUUCGUCUUAGAUGUGAGGAACAUUUUUUCAUAUUGUGCAAAAAAUGAUUUCUAUUAAAAAAAAAGAGAGAGAAAGUAA